RNAcentral lists this ribosomal RNA (497 nucleotides) under uncultured bacterium. Its description in RNAcentral is "partial 16S ribosomal RNA". It matches the Rfam family "Bacterial small subunit ribosomal RNA", at positions 28 to 507 of the family's 1533-position model. The record is from RNAcentral.
GAUGAACGCUGGCGGCGUGCCUAAUACAUGCAAGUCGAGCGAACAGAUGAGGAGCUUGCUCCUCUGACGUUAGCGGCGGACGGGUGAGUAACACGUGGAUAACCUACCUAUAAGACUGGGAUAACUUCGGGAAACCGGAGCUAAUACCGGAUAAUAUGUUGAACCGCAUGGUUCAAUAGUGAAAGACGGUUUUGCUGUCACUUAUAGAUGGAUCCGCGUCGCAUUAGCUAGUUGGUAAGGUAACGGCUUACCAAGGCAACGAUGCGUAGCCGACCUGAGAGGGUGAUCGGCCACACUGGAACUGAGACACGGUCCAGACUCCUACGGGAGGCAGCAGUAGGGAAUCUUCCGCAAUGGGCGAAAGCCUGACGGAGCAACGCCGCGUGAGUGAAGAAGGUCUUCGGAUCGUAAAACUCUGUUAUUAGGGAAGAACAAAUGUGUAAGUAACUAUGCACGUCUUGACGGUACCUAAUCAGAAAGCCACGGCUAACUACGUG